GACGAACGCUGGCGGCGUGCUUAACACAUGCAAGUCGAACGAUGAAGAAGAGAAACGCGAACUUCGGUUCAAAUUUCACUUCGGAUUAGUGGCAGACGGGUGAGUAACGCGUGAGCAACCUACCUCUUACAAAGGGAUAGCCUCGGGAAACCGUGAUUAAUACCAUAUGACACAUUCUUAAGGCAUCUUAAGAAUGUUAAAGCUACGGCGGUAAGAGAUGGGCUCGCGUCCCAUUAGCUAGUUGGUGAGGUAACGGCCCACCAAGGCGACGAUGGGUAACCGGCCUGAGAGGGUGAACGGUCACAUUGGAACUGAGACACGGUCCAAACUCCUACGGGAGGCAGCAGUGGGGAAUAUUGCACAAUGGAGGGAACUCUGAUGCAGCGACGCCGCGUGAGCGAUGAAGGAAUUCGUUUCGUAAAGCUCUGUUCUAUGGGAAGAAAAGGACUGUACCAUAGGAGAAAGCCCCGGCUAAAUACGUG
Molecule: ribosomal RNA, 482 nt
Filed under: uncultured bacterium
Lineage: Bacteria
Description: partial 16S ribosomal RNA
Rfam family: Bacterial small subunit ribosomal RNA
Source: RNAcentral